GACGAACGCUGGCGGCGUGCUUAACACAUGCAAGUCGAACGGUGAAGCGCCUUCCUUUUGGUGGGUGUGGAUGAGUGGCGAACGGGUGAGUAACACGUGAGUAACCUGCCCCCUUCUUCUGGAUAACCGCAUGAAAGUGUGGCUAAUACGGGAUAUUCUGGGUCUGUCGCAUGAUGGGUCUGGGCAAGAUAUUGUUUCGGGGGGGGAUGGGCUCGCGGCCUAUUAGCUUGGUGGUGGGGUGCUGGCCUACCAAGGCGGUGACGGUUAGCCGGCCUGAGAGGGUGGCCGGCCACAGUGGGAGAGCGACACGGUCGGGACUGCGACAGGAGGCAGAAGUGUGGAAUAUGGAACAGUGGGGGCAAGUGUGAAGCGGCGACGCCGCGGGAGCGAUGGCGGCCUUCGGGUUGUGAACGUCUUUCGGUAGUGAAGCAGGCCUGCCUCGUUUGUGGGUGGGUUGACGGUAGCUGGAUAAGAAGCACCGGCUAACUACGUG
RNAcentral lists this ribosomal RNA (493 nucleotides) under uncultured bacterium. RNAcentral describes it as "partial 16S ribosomal RNA". It matches the Rfam family "Bacterial small subunit ribosomal RNA", at positions 28 to 507 of the family's 1533-position model. The record is from RNAcentral.